ACGACGCUGGCGGCGUGCCUAAUACAUGCAAGUCGAAGCGAACAGAAGGGAGCUUGCUCCCGGAUGUUAGCGGCGGACGGGUGAGUAACACGUGGGUAACCUGCCUGUAAGACUGGGAUAACUCCGGGAAACCGGAGCUAAUACCGGAUAGUUCCUUGAACCGCAUGGUUCAAGGAUGAAAGACGGUUUCGGCUGUCACUUACAGAUGGACCCGCGGCGCAUUAGCUAGUUGGUGGGGUAAUGGCUCACCAAGGCGACGAUGCGUAGCCGACCUGAGAGGGUGAUCGGCCACACUGGGACUGAGACACGGCCCAGACUCCUACGGGAGGCAGCAGUAGGGAAUCUUCCGCAAUGGACGAAAGUCUGACGGAGC
This 373-nucleotide ribosomal RNA is filed under the name uncultured Bacillus sp. Its description in RNAcentral is "bacterial SSU rRNA". It matches the Rfam family "Bacterial small subunit ribosomal RNA", at positions 33 to 392 of the family's 1533-position model. Lineage: Bacteria; Bacillati; Bacillota; Bacilli; Caryophanales; Bacillaceae. The record is from RNAcentral.